This 1141-nucleotide ribosomal RNA is filed under the name Candidatus Synechococcus spongiarum. Its description in RNAcentral is "bacterial SSU rRNA". It matches the Rfam family "Bacterial small subunit ribosomal RNA", at positions 376 to 1533 of the family's 1533-position model. The record is from RNAcentral. Lineage: Bacteria; Bacillati; Cyanobacteriota; Cyanophyceae; Synechococcales; Synechococcaceae.
CGAAAGCCUGACGGAGCAACGCCGCGUGAGGGAUGGAGGCCUUUGGGCUGUAAACCUCUUUUCUCAAGGAAGAAGAUCUGACGGUACUUGAGGAAUAAGCCACGGCUAAUUCCGUGCCAGCAGCCGCGGUAAUACGGGAGUGGCAAGCGUUAUCCGGAAUUAUUGGGCGUAAAGCGUCCGCAGGCGGCCGUUUAAGUCUGUUGUUAAAUCGUGGAGCUCAACUCCAUCACGGCAAUGGAAACUGUUCGGCUUGAGUAUGGUAGGGGCAGAGGGAAUUUCCGGUGUAGCGGUGAAAUGCGUAGAUAUCGGGAAGAACACCAGUGGCGAAAGCGCUCUGCUGGGCCAUUAUUGACGCUCAUGGACGAAAGCCAGGGGAGCGAAAGGGAUUAGAUACCCCUGUAGUCCUGGCCGUAAACGAUGAACACUAGAUGUUGGGGGAAUCGACCCCCUCGGUGUCGUAGCUAACGCGUUAAGUGUUCCGCCUGGGGAGUACGCACGCAAGUGUGAAACUCAAAGGAAUUGACGGGGGCCCGCACAAGCGGUGGAGUAUGUGGUUUAAUUCGAUGCAACGCGAAGAACCUUACCAAGGCUUGACAUCCUGCGAAUCUCUAAGAAAUUAGAGAGUGCCUUCGGGAACGCAGUGACAGGUGGUGCAUGGCUGUCGUCAGCUCGUGUCGUGAGAUGUUGGGUUAAGUCCCGCAACGAGCGCAACCCACGUUUUUAGUUGCCAGCAUUCAGUUGGGCACUCUAGAAAGACUGCCGGUGACAAACCGGAGGAAGGUGUGGACGACGUCAAGUCAUCAUGCCCCUUACGCCUUGGGCUACACACGUACUACAAUGCUGUGGACAAAGAGUAGCGAUCUUGCGAAAGUUAGCUAAUCUCAUAAACCGUGGCUCAGUUCAGAUCGUAGGCUGCAACUCGCCUACGUGAAGGAGGAAUCGCUAGUAAUCGCAGGUCAGCAUACUGCGGUGAAUACGUUCCCGGGCCUUGUACACACCGCCCGUCACACCAUGGAAGUUGGCCAUGCCCGAAGUCGUUACUCUAACCUUUUGGAAGAGGGCGCCGAAGGCAGGGCUAAUGACUGGGGUGAAGUCGUAACAAGGUAGCCGUAGCGGAAGCUGCGGCUGGAUCACCUCCUAA